Molecule: long non-coding RNA, 10996 nt
Filed under: Medicago truncatula (barrel medic)
Lineage: Eukaryota; Viridiplantae; Streptophyta; Magnoliopsida; Fabales; Fabaceae
Description: long non-coding RNA (MTRU_LNC007812)
Source: RNAcentral
AUAGGAUUGGUGCUAGAAUUGUUAGACCUAGCUGUAAUUUGAGGUUUGAAACUUCAUUUCAAUUCUAUCAAACUAUAGCAGAUUCACCGUCACAACAACCUCCAUCACCAAUACCAUCAGCAUCACCUCAUUCCUCUGAUCAAGGUAAUUGUCCCAACAUUCUUGGUAUAUUUUUAUUUUCAAAUGAAAUUGAUUUUCUAGCAAAUUUAUUACUCUGUUUUAUUCUAAUAAAUUAUCCAUUAAAUGUAUCACUAGAUAUUGAUUGUGGUUUUUGCAGGUAAGAACAAUACGUCGUCAGGAACUGAAGUGGAUAUGAUCCCGUUGUUGUUGCUGCUGCUGUGCUCGUUGUUAUAUGUGCUUGUUUAAGAAUAUACUCACUCAAAUGUAGGGAAAAAAAAUAAAAAAACACACCAAUUAAAAAAAUGAAUUGAUUACAUUGAAGUCAUGUUAAAAAAUGUACAACUUUCCAAUUUUGCCUUUGUCAUGUUUUAGUAAUAAUUAAUGAUGGAGUGGGUUUAAGUAAUAAUUAUUGUGCACGUGUAUGAAAAGAAAGUGACUUUUGAACUCAUGGAGAUAGGGUAACGUGAAAGAGUAUGGGAGCAUGCAACUUUGAAUUAUGAGAAUGUGAUUUUUAACAAGGGUAAAAUUGGAAUAGUAGCAUUUAUUAGGUUAUUUUUACUAUACUUUUUCUUACAUUUGAGACCACAAUAUUUUUUGUUUUUUUUCCUACAUUUGAGACCGGAGGGAGUACAAUGUAAUUGUGUAAUCAAAUAAAUUUUUUCAAGUAGACUUGGAUAUCUUUAACGAUAAAAAUUAUUUAUAAUAAAAACUAUUACUAUUAAUCAUAUGUGACAAGCUCCCUCAAUGCUUAUAUUAAUAAAAUAAAAAAAUGAAGAAAUGACUAACUUGUACACUAUUAAAUUGAUAAAGAAUUUGAAUGGAACAAAAAAAUAAUAUAAAAGACUCAAAUGUUACAAAUAAAUAAGAUAAAUGAUUUGAACAAGACAAAAAAAUAAAUAAAGAACUUAAUUGACUAUUAUAGAUAAAUAAGAUAAAGAAUCCAUAAAAUAAUGACCAAAGAUUGAUAGACACUAUCAACAAGCACAGUUGCACCAUCAAACUUUUGGUGGAAGAAUAUCCAACAAUGUCUCCAUUGUGACGCUCAAAAUACACAUCUAUUGGUCAUCUGUUUGAACAUUGGUGAGGUAAGUUAUCCAUAAUGGGAAGAACCGAAAAAUUAUUACCCUAAGCUAGUGGCCAAGAAAAUGGAUUUUUGAUGUGGAUCACUUUCAAGUGGUGCAUUGGCAAUCAAUUACUAAGGAUUAUUAAAAGACAACUUGUGAUGGAACAAAUUCAUUUUUAUUCUCUUCAAAAUUUGUUUUUUAAGGGUGGUUUUAUGGUGCCAUAAACCGCUUUAUUUUUUUAUUAAGUGAUUGUUUAUACGUUUAAUUUUAUUUUUUAUCACCUAAAUCUUAUAUGUAUGUCAGACAUAGGCCAACUUAGUGUCGUCAUCAUCAUUCACAUCUUCUAUGUUCGUGAUUAUGAUGAGUUCUUAUCUUCUCCAGUUGUUACGGUCACGCCAUCGCUUUGAUCAGCCUGCACAUAUUUUUUGUGUGUCAGCAUAUAUGUUUGAGUUCAAAGCUUUUUCUCAUAAUGUUAUGCAUAAGAAAAUCAAUCUAAGGGUAAUGUUAUUUGUUCAUAAAGACAAGUAUGGUCUACUUGAUGGAUGUUAACCAUGUGGUACGUAUUUGCAUAUGAACAUGAUGUUGGUUCAAUCUUUUUCAUCAGACUAAGUGAAACGGGACAACUUGAGUUGUCAAUCUCAAAACUUCAUUUUAAAUUACGGUUAAAUACGACACGUUAAUAGGCUCGAUCCGUCUGUUUUAUCAUCCUUCUGCUAAACUCAAUUUAUGUUGGUUAUGAUUCACUCGCACUCUUAUUAAUUGGAUUAACUUUUUUUACCACUAAUAAUAAUUCAAUCCAGCUUGCAAAGUCCGUGUCAAUUUCCCAACCUAAAAGAAACAAGAUUCAUGAUCUGAUUUUCGCAAUGGACUCAUUGGUUUAAACUGGUCCUUUAAGUUAGAAAAUGAUUUAGGAGGGUGUAUUGGAUCAUGAUUCUAAGAAAUUUUAAAAGAUUUUUUUAUCAUGAAAAAGUCUUGUGGUAUUCAAUCAAGACUCUUUUCAAUUUAAAAAAAAAAAUCUUGUGUUAUUCAAUCAAGACUCUUUUCAAUUUAAAAAAAAAAAGUCUUGUGUUAUUCAAUCAAGACUCUUUUCAAUUUAAAAAAAAGUCUUGUGUUAUUCAAUCAAGAUUAUAUGUCAUUUAAAAAAAGUCAUGUGGUAUUCAAUCAAGACUCUUAAUCACUUAAAAAAAGUCUAGUGAUAUUCAAAAUCAUUCAAAAUUAAAAGGAUUGUUUAAUAAAUCAGAUUUUGAUGGAUUUUGUGGGAUUUUCUAGUGAAAUUUUAACAUGAAAAAGUUUUUCAUGAAAACAUGAGAUUUCUUAAGAUUGUUUUUUUCUUUUAAGAUUUUACUACCUCUCCCUCUCUCUCCUCCCUUCUCUUUUUUCCUCCUCCUCCUCCUCCUCCUCCUCUCUCUCUCUCUCUCUCUCUCUCUCUCUCUCUCUCUUUGAUUCCUUCUCUCUCUCUCUCUCCAGCUCUAACUCUCCCGUAAAAAAUAAAAUAAAAUAAAAUAAAUAAAAAAGUAUUUAUUGAGAUUUUGUGAAAGAGAGUGUGUUAUGAUAUUUUUUUCAAUUAUUUCUUAAAAUUCAUAAAAUUUCUUGAAAUCCUUAAAAUCAUUUCAAAUCCUUUAAAAUCUUAUGAAUUAAAUCCAUUGAAAUCCUUAAUAGUCUUUUAAAAUCAUCAAAGUCAUCAAAACCCUGCAAAGUCUUUUAAAAUCCUCAAGACUUUUUUAAACAAAAAAUUAUCUUUUAAAAUCCUAAUCCAAUACACCCCCUAAUUUAAAAAACUAAUUUGUAACAAAACACUUAAAGGACUAAUUUAAAACAAUAGGUAACAAAAAAUAUUAAGGGACUAGUUUGUAAUAAAUAUCCAACUUAAAGGAUAACAGAAGGUAUUUGACAUUAAAAUGUUAUAAACAAAAAUUGCAAAUUAUAUUAAACAAGGCCAAGAAAGGACACUUCAUCUUUGCCUGUAACAGUCCAUUCAUAUGUCAAAACAUUCGAUCAUCCGACUAACUGUUUCCUUAAGUACAAUCAAUAUGUCUACUCUCUCUUUAAGCCCACUUCUCUUUUUCUUUCUCGUAAUUAUCCUUUUCACAUCUAAAGCUCAAGCAUACAAAAACUACCGAAAAUUCCACUACUUUUGCGACCAACGUAACGAUAGAGGUGACUACAUAACCGGUAGUACCUACCACAACAACCUCAAAAUCGCUUUUAUCUACCUCACUUUCAACUCAAAAAUUGACUACGGUUUCUACAACACCAACUAUGGCCAAAACAAUGACAAAGUAAACGUCAUUGGAAUAUGUAGAGGAGACAUUAAUCCUCAAGACUGUCGCAAAUGCCUAAUAGGUUCCAGAUUCAAUCUCACACAAGCAUGUCCAAACAAAAAAGAAGCAAUUGGAUGGUACGAGGAUGAGAAAUGCAUGUUACGUUAUUCAGACCGUUCUAUAUUAGGCCUAAACGAAAUUGGGCCAGCUUAUACUAUGUGGAACUCGAACAACGCAACAAUGGCAGAUCAACUUAGUAUCUUAGUAACACAACUAUUAAAUGAUUUAAGAAGCAAGGCUAUAAAUGGUGACUCACAUAGUAAGUAUGUUGUUGGAACAUCGCCGGGUCCUAGUAAUAAUCAAUCACCUUCUCAACAAAGUAGUGGUGAAACAAUAUAUGGUCUUGUUCAGUGUACACCUGACUUGUCUGGUCCACAAUGUGAUGAUUGUUUGCUUCAAUCUAUUGCUGGAAUUUCAAGAUUUAGCAAUAGGAGUAGUGCUAGAAUGAUUAGACCAAGCUGUUAUUUGAGGUUUGCAACUUCAUAUCAAUUCUAUCAACCCAAACCAAAACUGGCUUCCCAACUCCCAUGAUCAACAACACUUUUCUCGAAGGUAAUUGUAAGGUGAGAGGAUCUCUCUUCAUAAACUUUUUUUCAGCUUUAUCUCUUUUGAAUAUGCAUGUGAUUUAAGUUAUUUCCAAUACACUUUUUAAUGCCAUGAUUUUUGGGUUUGGUCGGUCAUCCGGUAAUUUGGUGGGUGAUUCAAAUGAAUGAAUUUGGAUAAUAUAUUAUGUUUUUAUAUUUGGUUCAAGUCCUAUUCUUAGUAAGCAGAUUUGUAAAAUAUAAACGCCACUCUUUACUAAUUUUCCAUUUAAUUAAAUAUCUCACCGAUAUGAUUAGUUCUAUUCUUUUUUAUGCAGAUAAAAUAAACACAUUGAGAACUAUUGUUGAUACAGUUCUGUUGUUGCCGCUGAUUUUGUCAUUGCUUCUUUUAUAUAACUAGUAUGUGAACUCGUGCCAAGCACGGGCAAGAAUUUCUCCAUACUCGAAGGCGAAAUAUAUUGUGAUUUAUCAAGUGUCAGUUACGGUCUAACAUUGAAUAUAAGAGUUGAAGUUGAACAACAAAUAGGUGAAAAAACUCUUGCAUUUGUGUGGUUGCUCUUUGUACAAUGAGUUGACCCACACCAAUAUUGACGAUCACUUAGAAAGUCCUACGUUUGUAUCGUAACCCGUUUCAACUUUGUGGAGAAGUGACAUUGGUUAAUGAUGGUAUAUCACAGAUGCGGAGAGUCUCGUAUUUAAGGAAUAGAUGUUAAUGUGUCAAGUGUGAGUUAAAGUUUCACAUUGGCUGCAAGAGUAAUUGUUUAACAACAUAUAAGUGAUAUGACUCAUAUACAUAAUGCCUUAAGGUUUAGGGUGAAGAUGUAGUCUCAAUCUCACUUGUGUGGUAUAUGUUAGUAUAAUGUGAUGAUCAAAAUCAAUGUAGGAUUCACCAGAAGUCACAACAUUAUGAUGAACUGUUUUUUUAGUUUUUGGAUGUCAUUUGUUUGAUUUUAAUCUUAAAAUUUAGUCUUUAAAUGUCAUUAAUUAUCUUUUCUGCGAAUUUUUUCAUUCAACCUUUAUUAUUUCAAAUUCCUUUACAUUAUAUUUUGUGUUUGCUUUAGCGUAUUUGUAAUAAGUACAACUGCGUCAUUAAGAGAGUGUUGUAUAUGGUGCAACAAGUUUAUACUUGAGUGGGUAACAACAUCCAUUUUUAUUUGGUUCUUAAAUGGGUCUCACGUGUACACAUCAUUUGUUUAUAAUUUUUUAAUAAUAGUAUUUAAUAAACACUCAAUCACUCCAACUCAAAUCUCACACAAAGUUCUUAAAUGGAACCUAUUAAUCAACUAUCAAUAAUUUUAUAUCAUUAUAUUUCAAUUUUUUAAUAUUAAUAGAGUGUGAGUCCCGCUUAAAAGUGGGGGUCUUAAGUAAGACCCCGGGUCUUAUAAGACCCUGAAAAAGAUUUUCCCCAUUGGGGGUUCUUAAUAGGUACUGGGUCUUAAAUAGUUAAGACUCUCCCAAUGGAGAUGGUCUAAUAAUUUGAUGAGGUAUUUUCUCACUUAUAUAGUCAACUACAAACCAAGUAAAUUAACUAUUGUUCCUUCCUGGUUGGGUAUAACUAUCAUUGUUCCAUCAGAUAUUGGUUGUCACGCACAACAACUUUUUGGCGCGCAUGCUUUCAGGAAGGGCAUUCGCUCUUGUUUUCAGGUGGUGUGACUGACAUGUCUUUGGGUCAUUUGAAUGAGAUAAACUCUAGAAUUUUCAACAACAUCUCUUCUAAAGAUCAACUUGUCGAUAGUAUUAAGCUUCAUUCUUGGUGGUGGCUAAAGACACAUAAACUGGAUUUUGUUUUUUAUUUUCAUUAUUGACGGUAUAUGCCGUCUCUUUGUAUAUGUUAAACCAUUUUGUAAUUAUAGGAGGGUGUAUUGGAUUAAGAUUUUAAAAGACUUUUAUUAUAAAAAAAAAAAUAAAAAAAAAAAGUCUUGUGAUAUUCAAUCAAGACUUUUUGCAAGUUAAAAAAAGUCUUGUGGUAUUCAAUCAAGACUCUUUGUCAUUUAAAAAAGUCUUGUGGUAUUCAAAAUUAUUCAAACUUCUAAAGAUUGUUUAAUAAAUUGGAUUUUGUGAGAUUUUCUAGUUAAAUUUUAGCAUGAAAAAAUCUCACAUAAAUAAGAGUCCGUAUUGAGAAUAUUGUGAAAAAAAGUGUUAUAAUCAUUUCUCUAACUUUCUCGUAAAAAUAAAUAAAUAAUUAAAAGAGUUUGUAUUGAAAAUAUUGUGAAAGAGAAUGUGUUUAUAAUCAUUUCUUCUCAAUGAAUCAUUAAAAUUCAUAAAAUCUUUUGAAAUCUUAUAAAAUCCAUAAAAUCAUUUCAAAUUCUUUAAAAUCUUAUGAUCUAAAUCCAUUGAAAUCCAUUAAAAGCAUGCAAAGUCUUUUAAAAUCCAUAAGACUUUUUUAAACAAAAAUUGUCCUUUAAAAUCCUGGUCCAAUACACCCCCCGUAGUUUCUGUCUUUACUGUGUUUGUUACUUUGACAGUACACAGUUUCCUUUUAGGAACAUCUUGUGCUUAACUCGUUUGGUUUUGAUAUAUUUUGCAUUUAGCUUCUUCAAAAAUAAAAAUUAACUUGAUUUUGAAUUUUAAGAUAGAUGAGUGGUAUGGCCUUAACUCGUUUGGUACUUUCAUUCUUUUUUUUCAACAUUUGUUUAAACCUCUUCAGAAGUAUUAAGAUUUUUAUGUCUCUCAUGGAAGUUUAUGAGACUUCCAGCUCCAAUUCCAACCCUUUGAUUCUUCAAACACAAUAUCUACUUGCUAUAUAUCAUCGUCUUGUCUUUAGGAUCGUACAACUUAUAAGCUUUAUAUUCAUCAUGCAUGCUAAGAUGAACACACGAUGUUUUUUUGCAUCUAGCUUCCUUUUUCUGAAACAUCUUAGACAUGAACAUAUGUCAAACAUCCAAAAUUUCUAAAAUGAUGUAUAAAGGGUUUCCAACCACUGCAUGCUUCUUUAGGUGUGAUGUCUUUAAAUGAGGCCUAUUUCCCCGCUUCUGGCCAAAACUUCUUUGGUAUACAUUUCUUUCUGAUAGCAUGCUUCUUACGAUAUUCAUUAGAGCCAUAUUCUUUCUUUCUAGCACUCCUCCUCCUCCUCCUUCUUUUUCUUUGAUUAUGGAUUAGUGAUGAGUAAACAACUUUGAGAAUCAAUUGUAUCUAAAUUUUUGUUGUUUGAAAUCUUUAUAAUACAUAUCUAUUACACCCAAUAUUCAAAUUACGUUUCUAGUAAAUUAAUAAGCCAAAGUCAAGUGACAAUUAAUGUGGAUUUGUGAAAUACUCAAGUGUUGUAGUCGAAACAAAGUCAUUUGUACUACAAACACAAUUAUUCAAAAUAUGUUGUAACACAAACCAAGCAUAUAUACUCAUUGUUGUCAAAAUCCCAACAUAAAUCCUAAAAUUCAGGAUUUUGCAACUGACCAUAGUAAAAUCCCAAAAUAGGCAAAUCCAUCGUUUUUUUUUUUAACAAGCCAAAAUGGAAUUAUAUACGAAAUAGGGUAGUCCCAAACGCACAAGGUGUGCCUUAGAGACGCAAAUCCAUCGGUUUUGAUUGCAAUUUUACGAUUUCUUAUAAACUAAGUCAUUUAUGACUAUAUACCAUUUAUAACAUAUAUUUAGUAUUAUUUUUUGUGGUAAAAUCCAUCGAUUUUUAUUUCGAUUUUGUGAUUUCUUAUAUCAAUUCUACAAAAGUAGUUGAGUAAAAUCCUUCGAUUUUGGUUGUGAUUUUACGAUUGUCGAUUUUGCUCUUCUCUUUCAACCUAAAGAAAAUCCCGAUUUUGACAACCAUAUACUCGAAGAAGGCUUUCUUCGAAAAUCAUAUAAAUGCAGUUCGAAGAAAGACGUCCCUGAAGACAAUUGCAAAUUCAAAGUGUUCCAAACAUCAAAAUAAUUACUACCAUGUAAUAUAAAGAUUGCAAGAGUUUAAAUGGGUGACUAUACUUGGGAAGUUAUCAACUAAAUAAGUUAAAGGAUCCAUGAAAUAAUUUUGCCAAAAUUUGUCUCACUUAUACAGAAUAAUAUAAAAUCGGUUAAAACAAGCACAGUUGCACCAUCAAACUUUUGGUAGAAGAAUAUCCACUAAUCUCAAUUGCGACAUUCAAAAUACACGGAAAGACACAACUAUUGGUCAUCUGUCUGAACAUUGGUGAGAUAAGCUAUCCAUUAACUUGAAAUCGAUAAUGGGAAGAGCCAAAAAAUUAUUACCCUAAGCUAGUGGCCAAGAAAAUGGAUUUUCGAGGUGGAUCACUUUCAUUUCAAGUGGUGCACAGGCAAUCAAUUAAGGAUAUUAAAGGACAACUUGUGAUGGAACAAAUUCAUUUUUAUUGAUCUCAUGAGAAUACAUUUCUGUGCACAUAAUCAUGAUUUUUAUUUUAUUGAAAGCAUGUAAAAUUAUUAUUGAAAAUGAUUUAUUUUGUUUUAUUUGAAAUAAAAUUGUUUUUUAAGGGUGGCUCUAUGGUGCCAUAACCGCUAUAUUUUUGUAUUAAGUGAUUGUUUUAUACCUUUAAUUUUAUUUUUUAUCACCAAAAUCUUAUUUGUGUGUGAGACAUUGAGAAGUGAGACAGACCAACAUAGUGUCGUAAUCAUCGUUCACGUCUUUUAUGUUCGUGAUUUUGACGAGUUCUUAUGUUCUCCGAUUGUUAUGGACACACCAUUGCUACAACCAGCCUAUACAUAUUUUUUAUGUAUAAGAAAAUUAAUCUAAGGGCGAUCUUAUUUGUUCAUAAAGACAAUUGAUCUAGUUGAUGGAUGUUAAUUCAUGUGGUACGUAUUUGCAUUGACCUGCAUAUAUAUGAGCAUGAUGUUGGUUCACUCUUUUUCAACAAACUAAGUGAAACGGGUCAACUUGAGUUGUCAAGCUCAAAACUUCACCUCGCUCCAUUUUAAAUUACAGUUAAAUACGGCAGGCUAAUAGGCUUAAUCCGUCUGUUUUAUCAUCCUUUCCGUUAAACUCAAUUUUCAUUGGUAAUGAUUCACACUAUUAUUAAUUGGAUUAACUUUUUUUUACCACUACUAACUCAAUCCAGCUUGAAAAGUCUUUGUCAUUUCCACAACCUAAAAGAAACAUGAUUUGCGAUCUGCUUUUCGCAAUAGAUUCGUUGAUUUAAAUUGGUCCUUUAUGUUAGAAAAUGACUAACUUAAGAAAGUAAUUUGUAACAAAGCACUACACUUAAAGGGCUACUUUGAAAAAAAUUGUAACAUAAAAAAUAUAUUAAAGGAUUAAUUUGUUAUAAACAUCCAACUUAAAGGACAGCGUGAGGUAUUUAACCUUUAAAUUAAAAUGUUAUAAAAAAAUUGCAAAUUAUAUUAAACAUGGCCAAGAAUAGAAACUUCAUCUUUGCCUAUAAAAGCUCAUUCAUAUGUCUAAACCUUCAAUCAUCCGACUAAUUGUUUCCUUAAGUACAAUCAAUAUGUCUAUUCUCUCUUUAAGCCCACUUUCCUUUCUCUUUCUCAUAAUUAUCCUUUUCACAUCUAAAGCCAAAGCAGACAACAACGACCAAAAAUUCCACUACUUUUGCGACCAAAAUAACGAUAGAGGUAACUACAUAACCGGUAGUGCCUACGACAACAACCUCAAAUUCGCUAUCAUGCACCUCACUUACAACUCAAAAAUUGACUACGGUUUCUACAACACCAACUAUGGCCAAAACAAUGACACAGUAAACGCCAUUGGAAUAUGUAGAGGAGACAUUAAUCCUCAAGAUUGUCGCAAAUGCCUAAUUGGUUCCAAAUUCAAUCUAACACAAGCAUGUCCAAACAAAAAAGAAGCAAUUGGAUGGUACGAGGAUGAGAAAUGUAUGUUACGUUAUUCAGACCGUUCAAUAAUGGGUCUAAACGAAAUUGGACCUGCUUAUUUUGCAUGGAACUUGAACAAUGCAACAAUGGCAGAUCAAUUUAAUAUCUUGGUAAAACAAUUGUUGAAUGAUUUAAGAAGCAAGGCUAUAAAUGGUGACUCACAUCGUAAGUAUGUUGUGGGAAAAAUGCCGGGUCCUAGUAGUGAUCAAACAAUAUAUGGUCUUGUUCAGUGUACUCCUGACUUGUCUGGUCCACAGUGUGAUGAUUGUUUGCUUCAAUCCAUUGCUGAAGUUUCAAGAUGUUGUAGCAAUAGGAUUGGUGCUAGAAUUAUUAGACCAAGCUGUAAUUUGAGGUUUGAAACUUCAUACCAAUUCUAUCAACCUAAAGCAAAACUGGCUUCGCAUCUCCCAUGAUCAUCAACACUUUUCUCGAAGGUGUAAUUGUAAGGUGAGAGUGUCUCUCUUCAUAAAAAAAAUUCAACUUUAUCUCUUUUGAGCCAAUAUACUCUCUCAUGCCCAUGAUUAUUGGAUUUCGUCUUUUGGUAAUUUCGUGGGUGAUUCAAAUGAAUAAAUUAUGAUAUUAUAUUAUGUUUUUAUAUUUGGUUUAAGUUAUUCUUAGUAAAUAGACUUCUAAAAUGACUAAUGUCAUUCUUUAUUAAUUCUGAGUUAAAAUUCAUUUUGAUAAUUCACAAUUUUUCUAUAGACUAAUUUUAGUCUUGACAAAAAUAAAACUCAAAGCGGAUCCUAACAUUUUCAUACAAGAGACAAAUUAGUUUUUAUGUUAUAGUGAAUUGUUGCUAGUAUAAAAUGACGGACUAUUUUUGAUUUUAGGUUUGUCAGAAACUAAAUUGGUUUGCACGAAAUUAUAAAGGACUAAAAUGAGUUUCACUCUAAUUGUUUUCAUCCGAUCUUUUUUAGAAUUCAAUGUGGGACUUGGAGUUUUUUCCAGUAGUUAGAUCCAUAAAAAAAAAAAAAAAAAAAAAAAUCAAGUUAAUUUUACUUGGUUUGUGAUUCACUGUGCUUUAUUAUCCUUAAUUUUCCAUUUAAUUAAACAUCUAACCGAUAUGAUUAGUUCUAUUUUUUUUUAUGCAGAUAAAAUAAACACAUCGAGAAUUAUUGUUGAUACAGUCGUGUUGUUGCUGCUGAUUUUGUCGUUGCGUCUUUUAACAAUUAUAUUUGUGUUU